GCAGGUGCCCGGAUACAACCUCCUGCUGGCGGCAUUGCGAGUGUCGCUGGCUUGUCACGCCUGAGGUCGCAGGUUCGAGCCCUGUCGCCUGCGCCA
Molecule: transfer RNA, 96 nt
Filed under: Allobosea sp.
Lineage: Bacteria; Pseudomonadati; Pseudomonadota; Alphaproteobacteria; Hyphomicrobiales; Alloboseaceae
Description: tRNA-Asp
Source: RNAcentral